Molecule: long non-coding RNA, 1581 nt
Organism: Lepisosteus oculatus (spotted gar)
Lineage: Eukaryota; Metazoa; Chordata; Actinopteri; Semionotiformes; Lepisosteidae
Source: RefSeq, a predicted model, not a curated record
GUGACUUCAAGCCAAGCAUUUCCCUCCACACAAGCCUGAGUGUCAGAGUGUCACAGAGACAGAAUGGACCUGAAGAUUGCUGUACUUCUCUUUGCCUUUUUUGUAGGCAUUAUGACAACUGAAGGUUACAUACAGAGCUGCUGUUCAGAGACAGCAUCAAAGAUUUCCCGAAAGCUGCUCCCCAGAGCUAAAAAAUUUGACUGUCAAGUCAGCGAUGGAAUAUGUGACAUUGAUGCUGUGAUAUUGCACAUCAAAAGCAGGAAAUUAUGUGCAAGCCCUGGGGACACAUCGGUGAUGGAGUGGCUCAAGAAAAGAAAAGCAGGGAAAGGAAACUGUGAGAAAAUUAUGAAAAGGCAUCUGAAGCAGGGGUAGUUAAAAAAAAGACCUACACACACCAUCUUUUCUUCAGCAUCAAGAAACUCGCCCACCUGUUCUUUGGAUUCCCACUGACUGGUACCACUCUGCACUGCUGUCUGUCGUAUGGGUUCACACUCUGCAAGGCACUGUUUCCUCUAGGUAAAGAAAAUGUGACAUGAAACAGAUUCAGAAUUUCCAUCUUCCACAAUGUACAUACUGUGCUUAUUUUUCUACGUGUAAUAAUGAAGAUACUGUAUGUUCACUUCAGAGCAGGAAAGGUGUUCCUUCUGAAAUGGGUGAAGAGUGUUAAACACAAAUGGCACAGUGGAGUCUGCAUGAAUAUUGACUCAAUUGUAAGACACCACUGUAGGCUAAUGUGUCAUGAAGGGCAGGAAAAAUGUGCCAAUUCAACAUAUUUGCAACCUUCGAGAAAAUGACAAUGUAUUUUUCUUGCACAUUUAAAAGGCAUUUUUAACUUGAUUUUCCAAAUUUCAUUUUGUAUUAGAAAUGUGUUGUAUUUGGGGUUUUGUUUUCAGGUUACGUUUUCGCAGUGUUGAAAUACACAUGCUGUCAUGUAUAUCUACAGAAAAUGCUUUUUAACAGCAACGUCAGGUACACUAGUGCUGUACUGCCUUUAUGUAGCUGAUGCCGUUAUCUGGACUAUUGCACGAUCAACACCAGCUAUUAUCUAAUAUGAGAAAACAACUACAUAGUAGAACACUGUGUGUUCUACUAUUUUUUUUUUCAAAUCUUUUAGGUGUUUAAUAUUCCAGUUAGGCGGUCUGUUCUGUCAGAGCUGCUUUGACUGCUGUAGAAUCUCUAACCUUGCAGAAUCUGAUAUGAGGACUUUUUUUUGGAAGUGAAAAAUCACACAACCACACAUCACAUCCAGCACAGAGGAGCUGGUGUGUGAGGUUCAGGGUAGCCACCUGCAUUUCGAAACAGGAGUGUUUCCCAAAGUGAGGGAUCACUCUGGCGAAUGCAGAACACCAGACUGCUGCUGGAAGGGGUGCUAGCAGACCAAAGGGUGACAUUCUCCCCUCUCAACCUGAAUUUCUAAAACCAGACCAGUCAUUCAGAUGACACAUUAAACUGAGGGCCCGACUACUUGUUCAUUUAAUAUCCAAUGAAAUUGUCAACUUUAGAGGAAAAAGUAAAAGUUUAAUCCCUGCAGAAACGAGAAGAAAAGAAACACAAUGUUUUGGCUGUGGAGCCUUCUUCAGG